GGGCGUGCCUAAUACAUGCAAGUCGAACGCAAUCUUUGACUAAUGAGUGCUUGCACUCAGCGGUCAAAGUGCGAGUGGCGAACGGGUGAGUAACACGUGGGCAAUCUGCCCAAAAGUGGGGGAUAACACUUGGAAACAGGUGCUAAUACCGCAUCAACCGGCUGACCGCAUGGUCGGCCGGGCAAAGACGGCGUCAGCUGUCGCUUUUGGAUGAGCCCGCGGCGUAUUAACUAGUUGGUAAGGUAACGGCUUACCAAGGUGAUGAUACGUAGCCGAACUGAGAGGUUGAUCGGCCACAUUGGGACUGAGACACGGCCCAAACUCCUACGGGAGGCAGCAGUAGGGAAUCUUCCACAAUGGACGCAAGUCUGAUGGAGCAACGCCGCGUGUAUGAAGAAGGUCUUCGGAUCGUAAAAUACUGUUGUCAGAGAAGAACACGUGAUAGAGUAACUGCUAUGGCGCUGACGGUAUCUGACCAGCAAGUCACGGCUAACUACGUGCCAGCAGCCGCGGUAAUACGUAGGUGGCAAGCGUUGUCCGGAUUUAUUGGGCGUAAAGGGAACGCAGGCGGUCUUUUAAGUCUGAUGUGAAAGCCUUCGGCUUAACCGGAGAAGUGCAUUGGAAACUGGAAGACUUGAGUGCAGAAGAGGAGAGUGGAACUCCAUGUGUAGCGGUGAAAUGCGUAGAUAUAUGGAAGAACACCAGUGGCGAAAGCGGCUCUCUGGUCUGUAACUGACGCUGAGGUUCGAAA
RNAcentral lists this ribosomal RNA (751 nucleotides) under Ligilactobacillus acidipiscis. RNAcentral's name for it is "bacterial SSU rRNA". It matches the Rfam family "Bacterial small subunit ribosomal RNA", at positions 40 to 758 of the family's 1533-position model. The record is from RNAcentral. Lineage: Bacteria; Bacillati; Bacillota; Bacilli; Lactobacillales; Lactobacillaceae.